Molecule: transfer RNA, 82 nt
Filed under: Clostridium sp. MD294
Lineage: Bacteria; Bacillati; Bacillota; Clostridia; Eubacteriales; Clostridiaceae
Description: tRNA-Leu
Rfam family: tRNA
About the family: Transfer RNA (tRNA) molecules are approximately 80 nucleotides in length. Their secondary structure includes four short double-helical elements and three loops (D, anti-codon, and T loops). Further hydrogen bonds mediate the characteristic L-shaped molecular structure. tRNAs have two regions of fundamental functional importance: the anti-codon, which is responsible for specific mRNA codon recognition, and the 3' end, to which the tRNAs corresponding amino acid is attached (by aminoacyl-tRNA synthetases). tRNAs cope with the degeneracy of the genetic code in two manners: having more than one tRNA (with a specific anti-codon) for a particular amino acid; and 'wobble' base-pairing, i.e. permitting non-standard base-pairing at the 3rd anti-codon position.
Source: RNAcentral
UGCGGAUAUGGCGGAACUGGCAGACGCGCUGGACUUAGAAUCCAGUCCGAGAGGGUGCAGGUUCGAUUCCUGUUAUCCGCAU